AUUCUAUAAAAGCUAUAAUCUGAAAUAUAAAGUCCAUUAGUAAGUUUUAUACCCAUCCAUACCUCAGUGCAAUUGUAAAUGUUUUGACUUUGUAUUUAUCUGCUUAUAAAAAUGGUAAAAUUUAGACAUCUUAUACAUAGAAUAAUGUCCCAAUAAACAAACUUAUAUCUUAAUAAACAAAACAACAAGGUCCAAGUCCAAACAGUCAACUGGUGCUGUGAUUAUGUACAAUUAAAUUAUUAUACCAAACUCUGUUAGAAAAUGUUUAUGCACAGGAGUUAAAUGUGCUCUAUCUGAGUCGGGUAUUGUCACCAUUUGUGGACUGAAAUAGGGCUGCUUCAUUUUAAUACAGCGGAGAUUUACGUGAAAGUACACAUUCUGGAAACUCUGGCGUCUCUCUCCUGUACUUAUCUGGCCAUUCCCUAUUCAUCUUCGUCACUAAUACUAGAUCGUACGGCUUUAUGGCAAUUGCCCUAAAAAGCAACUUUGCUUCCUUAAUUUAUUAAGAAAUCGGUCUUUAGCAAUUGACGAUUCGCCUUUAAGCUUUUUAACAACAACUGCAUGCCUCCUUUUCAUAAAUUGCGCGGUGUAUAGAUCCAUAGUACCACUGCCAAUUUCCUCCACGUUUCUUAAUGAAUUCCAGCUAAAUGUUGGCAAACCAUGUUCGAUUCGUCUUUUCUUAAUGAGCGAUGGAACUUUAAAGCUUCCCAGUUUCGACAUUUUAGUUGACAAUUAGGCACGAGCACGUGCCCGACUUUUUUAUUCAGGAUUCAAACCAUGAAUUUCGUUCGUUUAGACUUCAGACACUUACACAAUAGAUA
Molecule: non-coding RNA, 821 nt
Organism: Paramuricea clavata
Lineage: Eukaryota; Metazoa; Cnidaria; Anthozoa; Malacalcyonacea; Plexauridae
Source: the annotation of a GenBank genome assembly